This 888-nucleotide ribosomal RNA is filed under the name Teratosphaeria mareebensis. RNAcentral describes it as "LSU rRNA". It matches the Rfam family "Eukaryotic large subunit ribosomal RNA", at positions 38 to 958 of the family's 3401-position model. The record is from RNAcentral. Lineage: Eukaryota; Fungi; Ascomycota; Dothideomycetes; Mycosphaerellales; Teratosphaeriaceae.
GCAUAUCAAUAAGCGGAGGAAAAGAAACCAACAGGGAUUGCCCUAGUAACGGCGAGUGAAGCGGCAACAGCUCAAAUUUGAAAUCUGGCGCAAGCCCGAGUUGUAAUUUGUAGAGGAUGCUUCAGGGCAGCGGCCGGUCUAAGUUCCUUGGAACAGGACGUCAUAGAGGGUGAGAAUCCCGUAUGCGACCGGUUGGCACCCGUCACGUAGCUCCUUCGACGAGUCGAGUUGUUUGGGAAUGCAGCUCUAAAUGGGAGGUAAAUUUCUUCUAAAGCUAAAUACCGGCCAGAGACCGAUAGCGCACAAGUAGAGUGAUCGAAAGAUGAAAAGCACUUUGGAAAGAGAGUUAAAAAGCACGUGAAAUUGUUGAAAGGGAAGCGCAUGCAACCAGACUUGUCGGCGGUGUUCCGCCGGUCUUCUGACCGGUCCAUUCGCCGCCGGCAGGCCAGCAUCAUCUGGGCGCGCCGGACAAAGGCGUGGGGAAUGUAGCUCCUCGGAGUGUUAUAGCCCCGCGCACAAUACGGCGCCGCCCGGGUGAGGUCCGCGCUUCGGCUAGGAUGCUGGCGUAAUGGUUGUCUGCGGCCCGUCUUGAAACACGGACCAAGGAGUCUAACAUCUAUGCGAGUGUUCGGGUGUCAAACCCCUACGCGUAAUGAAAGUGAACGGAGGUGGGAAGCGCAAGCUGCACCAUCGACCGAUCCUGAUGUCUUCGGAUGGAUUUGAGUAAGAGCAUAGCUGUUGGGACCCGAAAGAUGGUGAACUAUGCCUGAAUAGGGUGAAGCCAGAGGAAACUCUGGUGGAGGCUCGCAGCGGUUCUGACGUGCAAAUCGAUCGUCAAAUUUGGGUAUAGGGGCGAAAGACUAAUCGAACCAUCUAGUAGCUGGUUCC